RNAcentral lists this ribosomal RNA (253 nucleotides) under uncultured bacterium. Its description in RNAcentral is "partial 16S ribosomal RNA". It matches the Rfam family "Bacterial small subunit ribosomal RNA", at positions 524 to 776 of the family's 1533-position model. The record is from RNAcentral. RNAcentral also lists the same sequence under 1 other name.
UACGGAGGGUGCGAACGUUAAUCGGAAUCACUGGGCGUAAAGCGCGCGUAGGCGGUCUGUUAAGUGGGAUGUGAAAUCCCCGGGCUUAACCUGGGAAUUGCAUUUCAAACUGGCCGACUAGAGUACGGUAGAGGGAGGUAGAAUUUCCUGUGUAGCGGUGAAAUGCGUAGAUAUAGGAAGGAAUACCAGUGGCGAAGGCGGCCUCCUGGAUCGAUACUGACGCUGAGGCGCGAAAGCGUGGGGAGCAAACAGG